Non-coding RNA from Cucurbita pepo subsp. pepo (vegetable marrow), 537 nucleotides. The record is from RefSeq and is a predicted model, not a curated record. NCBI's taxonomy places the organism in Eukaryota, Viridiplantae, Streptophyta, Magnoliopsida, Cucurbitales, Cucurbitaceae.
GAGUUCUUAGCAACAUGGAAGUAGAGACCAACCAGUCAUUGCAUUGUAGCUUUUUUGUCAUGCAAAGUCCAAUUCCAUAAAUUCUAUGAUUGUACAGUGACUUUGGACUAUAAGGUUAAAGAACAGAUGUGCGAAUUCUGUUAGUUUGUGUUUUAGUUGAAGGCCUUCGUUUCUAUUACUUGUUUUGCAGGAAUAUGGGCAGGAAUGCGUACGGUCCGAUACUUCGAUGGGAAAACAUACAAAUGGGUUGGUCUAAGUCGUCAGCCUAAUAUUAUUGGAAAAGUGAAACGGACCUUGGGACAGUUCACUCCAGCACAAUGGGAUAAAGAUGAAUGGCAUCCCUUACUCGGUCCAUGGCGUUUCAUUCAAGUUCUUGCUCUUUGCAUCGUCUUCCUGACGGUGGAGCUUAACACAUUCUUUUUGAAGUACUGUCUCUGGGUUCCUCCUAGAAACCCUGUAAUAGUAUACAGGUUGGUUCUAUGGUGGUUAAUCGCCAUACCGACCAUUCGUGAGUACAACGUUUACCUUCAAGACAGG